GACGAACGCUGGCGGCGCGCCUAACACAUGCAAGUCGAACGGAGCUGAGAGAAGCUUGCUUUUCUUAGCUUAGUGGCGAACGGGUGAGUAACGCGUGAGUAACCUGCCCUGGAGUGGGGGACAACAGUUGGAAACGACUGCUAAUACCGCAUAAGCCCACGAUCCGGCAUCGGAUUGAGGGAAAAGGAUUUAUUCGCUUCAGGAUGGACGCGCGUCCAAUUAGCUAGUUGGUGAGGUAACGGCCCACCAAGGCGACGAUUGGUAGCCGGACUGAGAGGUGGAACGGCCACAUUGGGACUGAGACACGGCCCAGACUCCUACGGGAGGCAGCAGUGGGGGAUAUUGCACAAGGGGGGAAAACCUGAUGCAGCGACGCCGGGUGGAGGAAGAAGGUUGUCGGAUUGUAAACUCCUGUCGUUAGGGACGAUAAUGACGGUACCUAACAAGAAAGCACCGGCUAACUACGUG
Molecule: ribosomal RNA, 468 nt
Filed under: uncultured bacterium
Lineage: Bacteria
Description: partial 16S ribosomal RNA
Rfam family: Bacterial small subunit ribosomal RNA
Source: RNAcentral